GUGACAGCCGCCGCGGUAAUACGAAGGGGGCUAGCGUUGCUCGGAAUCACUGGGCGUAAAGGGCGCGUAGGCGGCUGUUCAAGUCGGGGGUGAAAGCCUGUGGCUCAACCACAGAAUGGCCUUCGAUAUUGGACGGCUCGAGACCGGAAGAGGUCAGUGGAACUGCGAGUGUAGAGGUGAAAUUCGUAGAUAUUCGCAAGAACACCAGUGGCGAAGGCGGCUGACUGGUCCGGUUCUGACGCUGAGGCGCGAAAGCGUGGGGAGCAAACAGGAUUAGAAACCCUGGUAGUCC
Molecule: ribosomal RNA, 292 nt
Filed under: uncultured bacterium
Lineage: Bacteria
Description: partial 16S ribosomal RNA
Rfam family: Bacterial small subunit ribosomal RNA
Source: RNAcentral